Molecule: transfer RNA, 73 nt
Filed under: Candidatus Pacearchaeota archaeon
Lineage: Archaea; Nanobdellati
Description: tRNA-Glu
Rfam family: tRNA
About the family: Transfer RNA (tRNA) molecules are approximately 80 nucleotides in length. Their secondary structure includes four short double-helical elements and three loops (D, anti-codon, and T loops).
Source: RNAcentral
GCCCCUUUAGUCUAGAGGCCAAGGAUUCAGCCUUCUCAAGGCUGAGACCCGGGUUCGAAUCCCGGAAGGGGCA